ACCUAGAGCGACGCUCUUUGGGGAAGGGCAGGGCCCGGCCCGCCCGCCACCACCAGCUCUCCUUGCAACAGCCUGACAAAUAGCUCUCCGCCGCGUGGGGCCGGAGCGCGCGCCGGCCCCGCUGCCAGCGCCGCGGCAGGAACCGGUUCUCAGGUUCUGGCCGCGUGUCCUUCCCGGUCCGUCAGGGGCUGCUGUCAGGCGUGCGGGCCGCGAUUGGCUGGGAGGAGGGCAGUCCUCCCACCUGCCUGUUGUACCCGGCUAAUCAGGGCAGCCGUUGGAUUGCAGGUUCGGAGCGGAGGCGCCCGGUGGUGUCAGACACCUGUGUCUUCUUAGCUCUCCCCUUCCUGGCGCUGGCUCCCGUGGAUCCCUUCCCGGCUGGAACUGUGCCUGGACGCCACCGCUCCCGAGCCACUGAGCCCCCCCUCGGCGGGCCAGCUUGGCCCAGGGUCCCCCGGCACAGGCAUGUCCAACAGACAUCUGAGGACAAUGGACAUGCUAGCUUAGACGUCCUUAAGGGCAAAGGGCGAAGGGCUUUGAAGAAUUCCCCAGGCGAGCCAGGCGAAGCAUUUUCUGCGAGGGACGUUGAUGGUGCGUUGUUUUCCUUCGCAAAGGACUGUGAGGAUAUAAUCUCACCGCUGCCCUUGACCGUCACCUGUCAAACCAAAGCACACGAGCCAGUGCCCAGUCUUUCGUUAUUAUAAAAGCGGGACAGAAUAUACCCGCCAUGGGGUGGCUGUCCAGCCAAGGGAAACCAGCUUCCUUUCAGAGAACGUUGACCCGUUUGCUCUCACUGAGUGAUGUGCCAUUGAGAUGCGAGUGAAGUCAAGCAUUUGUGGAAGAGUUUUGUUUCGCCGGACCACAGGUGUUCCUUUUCCAUGGUUGUGGCUUUCUGAAAAGGUGACAGUAGGUUCUGAGGGUGUUACUGCUUUGAUGAGGAGGAAAUUAAAGCGCCAAAAAAAAAAAGAGGAGAGUGGUUAGCGUUAUACAUAUUGAUGUGAACUUUGGAGAGUGAGCCUCCUAUUUUGCAGAAAUAACUGCACCCCUUGUUUUAUGCCAUCGACUUUUACCUAUUUUUCAAAUAGCCACGUGUCUUGAUAAACUCUUGAAGUGA
This is a long non-coding RNA of Eptesicus fuscus (big brown bat), 1111 nucleotides long. RefSeq lists it as uncharacterized. The record is from RefSeq and is a predicted model, not a curated record. NCBI's taxonomy places the organism in Eukaryota, Metazoa, Chordata, Mammalia, Chiroptera, Vespertilionidae. The transcript has 2 exons.